RNAcentral lists this ribosomal RNA (253 nucleotides) under uncultured bacterium. RNAcentral describes it as "partial 16S ribosomal RNA". It matches the Rfam family "Bacterial small subunit ribosomal RNA", at positions 524 to 776 of the family's 1533-position model. The record is from RNAcentral.
UACGUAGGGGGCAAGCGUUGUCCGGAAUCACUGGGCGUAAAGCGCGCGCAGGCGGCUAUCUACGUCCGGGGUGAAAGCCCAGAGCUCAACUCUGGGAUUGCCUUGGAUACGGGAUCGCUUGAGGAUCGGAGAGGCAAGGGGAAUUCCACGUGUAGCGGUGAAAUGCGUAGAGAUCCGGAGGAACACCAGUGGCGAAGGCGACACGCUGGGUCACACCUGACGCUAAAGCGCGACAGCAUGGGGAGCGAACGGG